AACGCACGAGACCUGCGGACCUGCGGAAGGAUCAUUAAUGAGAAACUGUCCCUCGCGGGUAGAUCUCCCACCCUUUGUAAACUUACCUUUGUUGCUUUGGCAGGCCCGUCUCCGGACCGCCGGCUUCGGCUGGCCAGUGCCUGCCAGAGGAUUCUAAAACUCUGUCUGUCAGUGUUGUCUGAGUCUAUAUACAAUCGUUAAAACUUUUAACAACGGAUCUCUAGAUCGGAAGAGCACACG
Molecule: unclassified non-coding RNA, 240 nt
Filed under: soil metagenome
Description: partial contains 5.8S ribosomal RNA, internal transcribed spacer 2, and large subunit ribosomal RNA
Source: RNAcentral